GCGACUGCGGAGGACAUUAUUGAGACUUGAACAGGUUGUAGCUGACUCUGAAAGGAGCAUGUGCACGCCUGGCUCAUCCACUCUUUAACCUUUGUGCACUCUUUGCAAGAGCUUGGUAAACAUUGGUCUUUCAUGGCUGGUGAUAUCCUCUCUCUUGUGUUUUUAUCACAAACAUGUCAUGUUGUAGAAUGGUCUUUAUGCAGAUAAUGCAUGUUGAAUAAACAACUUUCAGCAACGGAUCUCUUGGCUCUCGCAUCGAUGAAGAACGCAGCGAAAUGCGAUAAGUAAUGUGAAUUGCAGAAUUCAGUGAAUCAUCGAAUCUUUGAACGCACCUUGCGCUCCUUGGUAUUCCUUGGAGCAUGCCUGUUUGAGUAUCAUGAGACUCUCAACUUGCUACAUUUUUGUAUUGAAGUGUGGCAAGCGUUGGACUUGGAGGUCGUGCUGGUUGCUUCGCUUGAAGCUGACUAGCUCCUCUGAAAUGCAUCAGCAUGAACUUUAAUGUGAAUCAACUUUCAGUGUGAUAAUUUUCUGCGCUGUAGGUUGUGUUAGAUCACCUCUGUUGCUCAUGCUUAGAGUUGUCUCUUUCGAGACUUUAAUUGAUUUCUGAUCUCAAAUCAGGUAGGACUACCCGCUGAACUUAAGCAUAUCAUAA
RNAcentral lists this ribosomal RNA (652 nucleotides) under Ceriporia spissa. RNAcentral's name for it is "eukaryotic LSU rRNA". The stretch from base 224 to 377 matches the Rfam family "5.8S ribosomal RNA". Lineage: Eukaryota; Fungi; Basidiomycota; Agaricomycetes; Polyporales; Irpicaceae. The record is from RNAcentral.